AAUGUACCUCCACCCCAAGUUAGUUGACUCAAAUUUUUCUAUAUAUUGAUGUAUCUAGAUACGUUUUAGUGUUAGAUACAUCCAUAUUUAGAUAAAUCUAAGUCAAUUAAUUUGGGACGGAGAGAGUAUUAG
Triticum urartu is the source of this 132-nucleotide non-coding RNA. Lineage: Eukaryota; Viridiplantae; Streptophyta; Magnoliopsida; Poales; Poaceae. The record is from Rfam.